UCCGAGUUGACCCCGGCAGUCUCCUAUGAGUCCCCACCAUCACGUGCUGGCAACAUAGAACGAGGGUUGCGCUCGUUGCGGGACUUAACCCAACAUCUCACGACACGAGCUGACGACAGCCAUGCAUCACCUGUGCACCGGCCCCGAAGGGCUGCCGUAUUUCUACGACAUUCCGGUGCAUGUCAAGCCCUGGUAAGGUUCUUCGCGUUGCGUCGAAUUAAACCACAUAAUCCACCGCUUGUGCGGGUCCCCGUCAAUUCCUUUGAGUUUUAACCUUGCGGCCGUACUCCCCAGGCGGUCAACUUCACGCGUUAGCUUCGUUACCAAGGAAUUGCUUCCCCGACAAUCAGUUGACAUAGUUUAGGGCGUGGACUAC
This 376-nucleotide unclassified non-coding RNA is filed under the name uncultured bacterium. RNAcentral's name for it is "contains 16S-23S intergenic spacer region". The record is from RNAcentral.